GGUUAAGCGACUAAGCGUACACGGUGGAUGCCCUGGCAGUCAGAGGCGAUGAAGGACGUGCUAAUCUGCGAUAAGCGUCGGUAAGGUGAUAUGAACCGUUAUAACCGGCGAUUUCCGAAUGGGGAAACCCAGUGUGUUUCGACACACUAUCAUUAACUGAAUCCAUAGGUUAAUGAGGCGAACCGGGGGAACUGAAACAUCUAAGUACCCCGAGGAAAAGAAAUCAACCGAGAUUCCCCCAGUAGCGGCGAGCGAACGGGGAGCAGCCCAGAGCCUGAAUCAGUGUGUGUGUUAGUGGAAGCGUCUGGAAAGGCGCGCGAUACAGGGUGACAGCCCCGUACACAAAAAUGCACAUGCUGUGAGCUCGAUGAGUAGGGCGGGACACGUGGUAUCCUGUCUGAAUAUGGGGGGACCAUCCUCCAAGGCUAAAUACUCCUGACUGACCGAUAGUGAACCAGUACCGUGAGGGAAAGGCGAAAAGAACCCCGGCGAGGGGAGUGAAAAAGAACCUGAAACCGUGUACGUACAAGCAGUGGGAGCACGCUUAGGCGUGUGACUGCGUACCUUUUGUAUAAUGGGUCAGCGACUUAUAUUCUGUAGCAAGGUUAACCGAAUAGGGGAGCCGAAGGGAAACCGAGUCUUAACUGGGCGUUAAGUUGCAGGGUAUAGACCCGAAACCCGGUGAUCUAGCCAUGGGCAGGUUGAAGGUUGGGUAACACUAACUGGAGGACCGAACCGACUAAUGUUGAAAAAUUAGCGGAUGACUUGUGGCUGGGGGUGAAAGGCCAAUCAAACCGGGAGAUAGCUGGUUCUCCCCGAAAGCUAUUUAGGUAGCGCCUCGUGAACUCAUCUCCGGGGGUAGAGCACUGUUUCGGCAAGGGGGUCAUCCCGACUUACCAACCCGAUGCAAACUGCGAAUACCGGAGAAUGUUAUCACGGGAGACACACGGCGGGUGCUAACGUCCGUCGUGAAGAGGGAAACAACCCAGACCGCCAGCUAAGGUCCCAAAGUCAUGGUUAAGUGGGAAACGAUGUGGGAAGGCCCAGACAGCCAGGAUGUUGGCUUAGAAGCAGCCAUCAUUUAAAGAAAGCGUAAUAGCUCACUGGUCGAGUCGGCCUGCGCGGAAGAUGUAACGGGGCUAAACCAUGCACCGAAGCUGCGGCAGCGACGCUUAUGCGUUGUUGGGUAGGGGAGCGUUCUGUAAGCCUGCGAAGGUGUGCUGUGAGGCAUGCUGGAGGUAUCAGAAGUGCGAAUGCUGACAUAAGUAACGAUAAAGCGGGUGAAAAGCCCGCUCGCCGGAAGACCAAGGGUUCCUGUCCAACGUUAAUCGGGGCAGGGUGAGUCGACCCCUAAGGCGAGGCCGAAAGGCGUAGUCGAUGGGAAACAGGUUAAUAUUCCUGUACUUGGUGUUACUGCGAAGGGGGGACGGAGAAGGCUAUGUUGGCCGGGCGACGGUUGUCCCGGUUUAAGCGUGUAGGCUGGUUUUCCAGGCAAAUCCGGAAAAUCAAGGCUGAGGCGUGAUGACGAGGCACUACGGUGCUGAAGCAACAAAUGCCCUGCUUCCAGGAAAAGCCUCUAAGCAUCAGGUAACAUCAAAUCGUACCCCAAACCGACACAGGUGGUCAGGUAGAGAAUACCAAGGCGCUUGAGAGAACUCGGGUGAAGGAACUAGGCAAAAUGGUGCCGUAACUUCGGGAGAAGGCACGCUGAUAUGUAGGUGAAGCGACUUGCUCGUGGAGCUGAAAUCAGUCGAAGAUACCAGCUGGCUGCAACUGUUUAUUAAAAACACAGCACUGUGCAAACACGAAAGUGGACGUAUACGGUGUGACGCCUGCCCGGUGCCGGAAGGUUAAUUGAUGGGGUUAGCGCAAGCGAAGCUCUUGAUCGAAGCCCCGGUAAACGGCGGCCGUAACUAUAACGGUCCUAAGGUAGCGAAAUUCCUUGUCGGGUAAGUUCCGACCUGCACGAAUGGCGUAAUGAUGGCCAGGCUGUCUCCACCCGAGACUCAGUGAAAUUGAACUCGCUGUGAAGAUGCAGUGUACCCGCGGCAAGACGGAAAGACCCCGUGAACCUUUACUAUAGCUUGACACUGAACAUUGAGCCUUGAUGUGUAGGAUAGGUGGGAGGCUUUGAAGUGUGGACGCCAGUCUGCAUGGAGCCGACCUUGAAAUACCACCCUUUAAUGUUUGAUGUUCUAACGUUGACCCGUAAUCCGGGUUGCGGACAGUGUCUGGUGGGUAGUUUGACUGGGGCGGUCUCCUCCUAAAGAGUAACGGAGGAGCACGAAGGUUGGCUAAUCCUGGUCGGACAUCAGGAGGUUAGUGCAAUGGCAUAAGCCAGCUUGACUGCGAGCGUGACGGCGCGAGCAGGUGCGAAAGCAGGUCAUAGUGAUCCGGUGGUUCUGAAUGGAAGGGCCAUCGCUCAACGGAUAAAAGGUACUCCGGGGAUAACAGGCUGAUACCGCCCAAGAGUUCAUAUCGACGGCGGUGUUUGGCACCUCGAUGUCGGCUCAUCACAUCCUGGGGCUGAAGUAGGUCCCAAGGGUAUGGCUGUUCGCCAUUUAAAGUGGUACGCGAGCUGGGUUUAGAACGUCGUGAGACAGUUCGGUCCCUAUCUGCCGUGGGCGCUGGAGAACUGAGGGGGGCUGCUCCUAGUACGAGAGGACCGGAGUGGACGCAUCACUGGUGUUCGGGUUGUCAUGCCAAUGGCACUGCCCGGUAGCUAAAUGCGGAAGAGAUAAGUGCUGAAAGCAUCUAAGCACGAAACUUGCCCCGAGAUGAGUUCUCCCUGACUCCUUGAGAGUCCUGAAGGAACGUUGAAGACGACGACGUUGAUAGGCCGGGUGUGUAAGCGCAGCGAUGCGUUGAGCUAACCGGUACUAAUGAACCGUGAGGCUUAACCUU
This 2904-nucleotide ribosomal RNA is filed under the name Escherichia coli. RNAcentral describes it as "23S ribosomal RNA". It matches the Rfam family "Bacterial large subunit ribosomal RNA". The record is from RNAcentral. Lineage: Bacteria; Pseudomonadati; Pseudomonadota; Gammaproteobacteria; Enterobacterales; Enterobacteriaceae.